Molecule: ribosomal RNA, 813 nt
Filed under: uncultured bacterium
Lineage: Bacteria
Description: bacterial SSU rRNA
Rfam family: Bacterial small subunit ribosomal RNA
Source: RNAcentral
CCAGUACUACUGGGCGUAAAGGGUGCGUAGGCGGAUUUGUAAGUCUGCAGUGAAAGUCCAUCUCUCCAAGGGGAGGAAGUGCUUUGGUAACUAUAGAGCUUGAGUGCACGAGAGGUCAUCGGGAUUCCCCGGUGUAGCGCUGAAAUGCGUAGAUAUCGGGAGGAACAUCGGUGGCGAAGGCGGGUAACUGGACUGCAACUGACGCUGAGGCGCGAAAGUGUGGGGAGCAUACAGGAUUAGAUACCCCUGGUAGUCCACACGCUCAACGAUGAAUGCUAGGUGUAGGAGGUAUCGACCCCUUCUGUGCCGCAGUUAACACAAUACGCAUUCCGCCUGGGGAGUACGGUCGCAAGAUUAAUACUCAAAGGAAUUGACGGGGGCCCGCACAAGCAGCAGAGCAUGUGGUUUAAUUAGACGCAACGCGCAGCACCUUACCAGGUCUUGACAUGCAGUUAAAGCUGUUGAAAGAUAGUGUCCCUUCGGGGGAACUGAGACAGGUGGUGCAUGGUUGUCGUCAGCUCGUGUCGUGAGAUGUUGGGUUAAGUCCCGCAACGAGCGCAACCCUUAUUGAUAGUUACUAACGCGUAGAGGCGAGGACUCUAUUGAGACUGCCGGGGACAACUCGGAGGAAGGUGGGGACGACGUCAAAUCAUCAUGCCCCUUAUGACCUGGGCUACACACGUGCUACAAUGGCCGACACAGAGAGAAGCGAAAGCUCGAGCCGGAGCGGAUCUCACAAAAGCGGUUGAAGUUCGGAUUGUGGGCUGCAACCCGCCCCCAUGAAGUCGGAGUUGCUAGUAAUCGCGGAUCAGC